This 1243-nucleotide ribosomal RNA is filed under the name Escherichia coli. RNAcentral's name for it is "partial 23S ribosomal RNA". It matches the Rfam family "Bacterial large subunit ribosomal RNA", at positions 1 to 1283 of the family's 2925-position model. The record is from RNAcentral. Lineage: Bacteria; Pseudomonadati; Pseudomonadota; Gammaproteobacteria; Enterobacterales; Enterobacteriaceae.
GGUUAAGCGACUAAGCGUACACGGUGGAUGCCCUGGCAGUCAGAGGCGAUGAAGGACGUGCUAAUCUGCGAUAAGCGUCGGUAAGGUGAUAUGAACCGUUAUAACCGGCGAUUUCCGAAUGGGGAAACCCAGUGUGAUUCGUCACACUAUCAUUAACUGAAUCCAUAGGUUAAUGAGGCGAACCGGGGGAACUGAAACAUCUAAGUACCCCGAGGAAAAGAAAUCAACCGAGAUUCCCCCAGUAGCGGCGAGCGAACGGGGAGCAGCCCAGAGCCUGAAUCAGUGUGUGUGUUAGUGGAAGCGUCUGGAAAGGCGCGCGAUACAGGGUGACAGCCCCGUACACAAAAAUGCACAUGCUGUGAGCUCGAUGAGUAGGGCGGGACACGUGGUAUCCUGUCUGAAUAUGGGGGGACCAUCCUCCAAGGCUAAAUACUCCUGACUGACCGAUAGUGAACCAGUACCGUGAGGGAAAGGCGAAAAGAACCCCGGCGAGGGGAGUGAAAAAGAACCUGAAACCGUGUACGUACAAGCAGUGGGAGCACGCUUAGGCGUGUGACUGCGUACCUUUUGUAUAAUGGGUCAGCGACUUAUAUUCUGUAGCAAGGUUAACCGAAUAGGGGAGCCGAAGGGAAACCGAGUCUUAACUGGGCGUUAAGUUGCAGGGUAUAGACCCGAAACCCGGUGAUCUAGCCAUGGGCAGGUUGAAGGUUGGGUAACACUAACUGGAGGACCGAACCGACUAAUGUUGAAAAAUUAGCGGAUGACUUGUGGCUGGGGGUGAAAGGCCAAUCAAACCGGGAGAUAGCUGGUUCUCCCCGAAAGCUAUUUAGGUAGCGCCUCGUGAAUUCAUCUCCGGGGGUAGAGCACUGUUUCGGCAAGGGGGUCAUCCCGACUUACCAACCCGAUGCAAACUGCGAAUACCGGAGAAUGUUAUCACGGGAGACACACGGCGGGUGCUAACGUCCGUCGUGAAGAGGGAAACAACCCAGACCGCCAGCUAAGGUCCCAAAGUCAUGGUUAAGUGGGAAACGAUGUGGGAAGGCCCAGACAGCCAGGAUGUUGGCUUAGAAGCAGCCAUCAUUUAAAGAAAGCGUAAUAGCUCACUGGUCGAGUCGGCCUGCGCGGAAGAUGUAACGGGGCUAAACCAUGCACCGAAGCUGCGGCAGCGACGCUGAUGCGUUGUUGGGUAGGGGAGCGUUCUGUAAGCCUGUGAAGGUGUGCUGUGAGGCAUGCUGGAGGUAUC